RNAcentral lists this ribosomal RNA (198 nucleotides) under uncultured bacterium. RNAcentral describes it as "partial 16S ribosomal RNA". It matches the Rfam family "Bacterial small subunit ribosomal RNA", at positions 328 to 539 of the family's 1533-position model. The record is from RNAcentral.
ACGCUCGACACCUACGGGAGGUAGCAGUGGGGAAUAUUGCACAAUGGAGGAAACUCUGAUGCAGCGAUGCCGCGUGAGGGAAGAAGGUUUUCGGAUUGUAAACCUCUGUCUUUGGGGACGAUAAUGACGGUACCCAAGGAGGAAGCUCCGGCUAACUACGUGGCAGCAGCCGCGGUAAUCUGAGCGGGCUGGCAAGGC